UAGGGAAUCUUCGGCAAUGGACGAAAGUCUGACCGAGCAACGCCGCGUGAGUGAAGAAGGUUUUCGGAUCGUAAAACUCUGUUGUUAGAGAAGAACAAGGACGUUAGUAACUGAACGUCCCCUGACGGUAUCUAACCAGAAAGCCACGGCUAACUACGUGCCAGCAGCCGCGGUAAUACGUAGGUGGCAAGCGUUGUCCGGAUUUAUUGGGCGUAAAGCGAGCGCAGGCGGUUUCUUGAGUCUGAUGUGAAAGCCCCCGGCUCAACCGGGGAGGGUCAUUGGAAACUGGGAGACUUGAGUGCAGAAGAGGAGAGUGGAAUUCCAUGUGUAGCGGUGAAAUGCGUAGAUAUAUGGAGGAACACCAGUGGCGAAGGCGGCUCUCUGGUCUGUAACUGACGCUGAGGCUCGAAAGCGUGGGAGCAAACAGG
This 428-nucleotide ribosomal RNA is filed under the name Gemmatimonadota bacterium. RNAcentral's name for it is "Gemmatimonadetes bacterium partial 16S ribosomal RNA". It matches the Rfam family "Bacterial small subunit ribosomal RNA", at positions 355 to 776 of the family's 1533-position model. Lineage: Bacteria; Pseudomonadati; Gemmatimonadota. The record is from RNAcentral.